RNAcentral lists this ribosomal RNA (499 nucleotides) under Serratia nematodiphila. Its description in RNAcentral is "bacterial SSU rRNA". It matches the Rfam family "Bacterial small subunit ribosomal RNA", at positions 968 to 1467 of the family's 1533-position model. Lineage: Bacteria; Pseudomonadati; Pseudomonadota; Gammaproteobacteria; Enterobacterales; Yersiniaceae. The record is from RNAcentral.
CCUUUACCUACUCUUGACAUCCAGAGAACCUUCCAGAGAUGGAUUGGUGCCUUCGGGAACUCUGAGACAGGUGCUGCAUGGCUGUCGUCAGCUCGUGUUGUGAAAUGUUGGGAUAAGUCCCGCAACGAGCGCAACCCUUAUCCUUUGUUGCCAGCGGUUCGGCCGGGAACUCAAAGGAGACUGCCAGUGAUAAACUGGAGGAAGGUGGGGAUGACGUCAAGUCAUCAUGGCCCUUACGAGUAGGGCUACACACGUGUUACAAUGGCGUAUACAAAGAGAAGCGACCUCGCGAGAGCAAGCGGACCUCAUAAAGUACGUCGUAGUCCGGAUUGGAGUCUGCAACUCGACUCCAUGAAGUCGGAAUCGCUAGUAAUCGUAGAUCAGAAUGCUACGGUGAAUACGUUCCCGGGCCUUGUACACACCGCCCGUCACACCAUGGGAGUGGGUUGCAAAAGAAGUAGGUAGCUUAACCUUCGGGAGGGCGCUUACCACUUGGUUC